AACGCACAUUGCACUCUAUUUCGGUAGAGUAUGCCUGUUUGAGAAUCUAUAGUAUUCAUUUUCCUAUAUUCUUGUAGUAUGGGAAAGAUUUGAAGCGUCCCACUAACACUGGGUGCUUUUAAAACUAUAGCUGUUCACUAUUGUAGUAAUGCCUGACGUUCUAUAUAGUGCAGAAAAGUAUGUGCAUGAACCUUUGGGUUUCUCUAGUACUGAUUAUGCGACUGUAGAGCUUAGUUGCUAUAGUAAUGUGCACUCACCUAUUAAAGUAUAGCGGCUUUCGGGCAGUUAUACUUGAACCAUGGUCUCAAAUCAGGUAGGAAGACCCGCUGAACUUAA
This 336-nucleotide unclassified non-coding RNA is filed under the name uncultured fungus. RNAcentral's name for it is "partial contains 5.8S rRNA and ITS2". The record is from RNAcentral. Lineage: Eukaryota; Fungi.